RNAcentral lists this ribosomal RNA (589 nucleotides) under uncultured bacterium. Its description in RNAcentral is "bacterial SSU rRNA". It matches the Rfam family "Bacterial small subunit ribosomal RNA", at positions 338 to 944 of the family's 1533-position model. The record is from RNAcentral.
CCUACGGGAGGCAGCAGUGGGGAAUAUUGGACAAUGGGCGAAAGCCUGAUCCAGCAAUGCCGCGUGAGUGAUGAAGGCCUUCGGGUCGUAAAGCUCUUUUACCAGGGAUGAUAAUGACAGUACCUGGAGAAUAAGCUCCGGCUAACUCCGUGCCAGCAGCCGCGGUAAUACGGAGGGAGCUAGCGUUGUUCGGAAUUACUGGGCGUAAAGAGUACGUAGGCGGUUAUUCAAGUCAGAGGUGAAAGCCCGGGGCUCAACCCCGGAACUGCCUUUGAAACUAGAUAACUAGAGUCUUGGAGAGGUUAGUGGAAUUCCGAGUGUAGAGGUGAAAUUCGUAGAUAUUCGGAAGAACACCAGUGGCGAAGGCGACUAACUGGACAAGUACUGACGCUGAGGUACGAAAGCGUGGGGAGCAAACAGGAUUAGAUACCCUGGUAGUCCACGCCGUAAACGAUGAUAACUAGUUGUUCGGUCACUUGGUGACUGAGUGACGCAGCUAACGCAUUAAGUUAUCCGCCUGGGGAGUACGGUCGCAAGNUUAAAACUCAAAGGAAUUGACGGCUGNGAGNGCGAGCGACACGAGGGAGAG